This 125-nucleotide transfer RNA is filed under the name Bacteroidia bacterium. Its description in RNAcentral is "tRNA-OTHER". Lineage: Bacteria; Pseudomonadati; Bacteroidota; Bacteroidia. The record is from RNAcentral.
AGCUCAGUUGGUAGAGCAAUAAAAAAGACUCUUACAGUUUUUUACCUGUUUUGAAACAUUGAAUGGUGUCGUAGAAUAGAGAUACUUCGAUUUGGGUUCGGGUGGUCGCAGGUUCGAAUCCUGCC